GACGAACGCUGGCGGCGUGCUUAACACAUGCAAGUCGAACGGAAAGGCCCUGCUUUUGUGGGGUGCUCGAGUGGCGAACGGGUGAGUAACACGUGAGUAACCUGCCCUUGACUUUGGGAUAACUUCAGGAAACUGGGGCUAAUACCGGAUAGGAGCUCCUGCUGCAUGGUGGGGGUUGGAAAGUUUCGGCGGUUGGGGAUGGACUCGCGGCUUAUCAGCUUGUUGGUGGGGUAGUGGCUUACCAAGGCUUUGACGGGUAGCCGGCCUGAGAGGGUGACCGGCCACAUUGGAACUGGGAUACGACCCAGACUACUACGGGAGGCAGCAGUGGGGAAUAUUGCACAAUGGGCGGAAGCCUGAUGCAGCAACGCCGCGUGCGGGAUGACGGCCUUCGGGUUGUAAACCGCUUUCGCCUGAGACGAAGCGUGAGUGACGGUAAUGGGUAAAGAAGCACCGGCUAACUACGUG
Molecule: ribosomal RNA, 468 nt
Filed under: uncultured bacterium
Lineage: Bacteria
Description: partial 16S ribosomal RNA
Rfam family: Bacterial small subunit ribosomal RNA
Source: RNAcentral